Molecule: ribosomal RNA, 197 nt
Filed under: uncultured bacterium
Lineage: Bacteria
Description: partial 16S ribosomal RNA
Rfam family: Bacterial small subunit ribosomal RNA
Source: RNAcentral
ACGCUCGACACCUACGGGAAGCAGCAGUGGGGAAUAUUGCACAAUGGGGGAAACCCUGAUGCAGCGACGCCGCGUGAAGGAAGAAGUAUUUCGGAUGUAAACUUCUAUCAGCAGGGAAGAAAAUGACGGUACCUGACUAAGAAGCCCCGGNUAACUACGUGCCAGCAGCCGNGGUAAUCUGAGCGGGCUGGCAAGGC